RNA transcript from Dendrobium catenatum, 2755 nucleotides. It is a transcript of the gene named pentatricopeptide repeat-containing protein At4g32450, mitochondrial, with no coding region annotated. NCBI's taxonomy places the organism in Eukaryota, Viridiplantae, Streptophyta, Magnoliopsida, Asparagales, Orchidaceae. The record is from RefSeq and is a predicted model, not a curated record. The transcript is spliced from 4 exons.
GCCUUCUCGAACCGUACCGAGUUCUCUCCCGCUGCGCAGAUAUCAGUUAGGGUUUUAGCAUCACCUGAGUGUCGUAGAGGCAAAUAUCGAUUGUCGCCGGAAUUCGAGAAGCAAAAAAGAUAGCCGCUGUAAUGCGCAGAUGAACAGCCUCCGAUUUUGCCGAUAGAUCUUUUUUCUUUGGGGUAAAUUCUUGCCUAUAGAUAUUAGAGAAGUUUAUGUUCUCAAAGCUAGGGUUUUGGAGAACAUCUUAAUUUGCGCAGAGGCAAAUUUCCUCUUUUACUUGAUUUCGAGAAGCAAACAAGGCGGUCGCUUAAAUGUACAGAAGAAGAACACUUGGUCUCGCCGUUCGAUCAAUCUUAUCCCUUUCCCAUGUCGGGUCUUCCUCUCUCCUUCUCUCCCGUCUAUAUAUUUCAAGCGAAGCCUUCUCCGAUGCUUUCAAAACCUCACCUUUUGUCUCCGGAAGGCGGCUAUUCACCGCCGCUAGAACAGAAUUCGCUGCGGAGGACACAGUAGAUGGCCACAUCCCUUUUAGGUCUUCCGGAGAAAAUAAUCAGCUUGCGGGUACCAUAUUUAACGGCGGCAACUCAGAUGGAUAUUUCAGAGGUAACCCUCAUAACGAUAAAAAUUACACGAAUCCCAGUGAGGUUCAGAUGAAGUUUUAUGGGGAAUCCUGUCAAGCUGGUGGUGGUCUUCACUGGAAUGGAGAGGCUCAGAAGCAGAAUUCUGAUGCCAAUGGCUUGAGGAUUCAAGGGCAGUUCAUGCCAAACUAUAAUUACGGCAGUGGGAGCUCGGGGGGACAUUAUCAAAAUGAAAGCAGGUUUAUUGAUCAGCAAAAAUCUAACUUGCUUGAUGGUGGGAGGAAAUGCUCUGAGGAAUUCUAUUCUGUUUCGACUAAUGGACAUUCAAGUGGUAAUAUUGGCCAAAGCUUGCAUAUAAGCAACCAUGGAAAUCGUGAGUACUUAUCUGGGAAACCUUAUGUGGAUGCUGGAGUGAAUAGUGGACAAGUUCAUCAAAGCUCCCAUUGGAAUCAUCCACAGUUUCAGACUAACGUGCAAUUGAUUAAUCGGGGAGAAGGUUUUCUUCACAAUCCUUAUUAUAUGGGAACACCUAGUAACAUUCAGCAGAACCCAAAUGAGUAUCACCAUGCUUCUAUUUCUUUGAAUGAGAGGAUUAUUUCUCCUCCAGAUGUUUCUAACCAAAAUAAUGAAGCCAAUAAUACAGCUGAUAGUGGUGAUACAAAUACCUACAAGGGUACUCUUGAGGAGCUUGAUGAGUUAUGCAAUGAGGAAAGAGUAAAAGAUGCCGUCGAAGUUUUUAUUUUGUUGGUUAAACGAGGAGUCGCUAUUGAUAUACCUAGAUGUUUGCUUCUGCUACAGCUCUUUGUUGAUAUCAAGCAUUUGGAUUCUGCAAGACAUGUUCAUGAUCAUAUAUCCAUGUCAGGAGAAAAUGCCGGGGUUGUGGCUUAUAACAAGUUAUUAGAUGCAUAUCUUAGGUGUGGUUCAAUUGCUGAUGCUUACCAGCUCUUUGAGAAAAUGCCUCAGCGAAAUCUGACAUCAUGGGACACUAUGAUAAAGGGGCUGGCUCAAGAUGGCCUUGGAGAGGAAGCGAUCAACCUUUUCACACAGUUCAAGAAAUUGGGAUUGAAGCCAGAUGGAGGGAUGUUUAACACUGUUUUCUCUGCUUGUAGCGUGAUAGGAGCUGUUGAUGAAGGAAUGCUACAUUUCAAAUCGAUGGCAAUGGAUUUUGGUAUCAGUCCAUCCAUGGAAAACUAUUCAAGUGUGGUGGACAUGCUUGGAAGUUGUGGUUAUCUGAAUGAAGCUUUUGAGGUCAUUGAAAGAAUGCCGGUGGAGCCAACAAUUGAUAUUUGGGAAACCUUAAUGAAUCUUUGUAGAGUUAAUGGGGAUGCAAAGCUUGGAGAUAGAUGUGCUGAUAUUAUUGAAUACUACAAUCCUACCAGAUUAACGGAGCAGUCUAAGAAAGGUCUUUUGCCUGUGAAAACAGUGGACAACAAAAAAAAAGUAAAGAAUUCUGACUCUACUGAAUUAGCAAAAAGGUUUUGUAAGCAACGCGAGUAUCGAGCUGGGGAGAGGUCUCAUCCAGAAGAUGACUUGGUCUAUGAACAAAUCCGAGGGCUCUUACCGCAACUGAAAGAUGCGGGAUAUGUUCCUGAAAUUAAAUGUGUACUCCAUGAUAUUGACAAGGAAUCAAGGGAGGAAGCUUUACUCUACCAUAGUGAAAGAUUGGCUCUUGCUUAUGCGCUCAUGACCACCCCGGCGCGCCAAACAGUUCGGAUUAUGAAAAAUCUUCGUGUUUGUGUGGACUGUCAUAAUGCUUUGAAGAUUAUCUCAAAGAUAGUUGGUCGAUUAGUAAUAGCUCGGGAUGCUAAGAGGUUUCACCAUUUUCAGGAUGGUGAGUGUAGCUGUCGUGAUUACUGGUGAAGAUUCUUCGACUUUGCUGCCCGCCAAGUGGAUACAACUUAAAGAUAGGAUUUCGGUGCUGUGCUGCAAGAACUGCAUUGAUCAUUUGAUUUGGUUAUUAGUUCUUAAGAAGGUGCAGUUCAGGUGUUAUGGGCAACUUUGGGGAUGAUACUACGGCUGCUUCCCACACACAUUUGAAAAAGAAAAUAUUCUUUCGUGGUGGGAUCUAUCCAAUGGGAUGCUCAAAAUUACUUAGGUUUUAUUUGAGACAAUUUUUUUAUUGCUUUAUGAAGUGGUGGUGAAAAACUAUCUCAAAUGAAGUAUUAGGUUUUCUUUUA